ACAGGAAGGGAAGACUAGCAAACUCAGUCAUGUUAGUGCCGCUCUCGUGACAAAGUCGUCUCAGGAUGAAUUCCUUGCAGACUUUUGUUGUUUUUAUAAACGCCCUACAUUAAUUUACCAAAACACUGCCAUGCUAGUUGGCAUCAUAGUCAUUUCAAUCCAAAUUGUGAGGAAUGCAGUGGAUAUACCUGAAAGAGACCAUGUCCAAUAUGCAAGGGCAGGUGUCAGGCUGUAUGGACCAGAGAUAUUGACAUGUCACAAAAUGAAGUUUUCUUACUGGAAUGAAGAUCAUCAGCUACCUCAGGCUGAAAAACAGGUAUACCUUGUGAGGGUGUUUGUUAAAAACAGCGAAGAUGCUCUGAUUCACAGCAAUGAAUGAUUUGUGUGGAAGCUGAGGAAGAUAGUUGCUAGACAUGCUGUGUGGCUUUAAGAUGCUGCAAUGGCUUCUGAAAACUACGGAAGACAGGAAAACAGAUAAGAGUGCUGGCCAAUGCAGUUGAUCCAAAGGGUGUGUCUUCCCUUCAUUUUAUUUUAAUUGGAAUAUUGAUACAUGUACUUCUGAAACAGUUUUUAAAAAAGGUUGCUGAGU
This is a long non-coding RNA of Acanthaster planci (crown-of-thorns starfish), 589 nucleotides long. The record is from RefSeq and is a predicted model, not a curated record. NCBI's taxonomy places the organism in Eukaryota, Metazoa, Echinodermata, Asteroidea, Valvatida, Acanthasteridae.